Molecule: long non-coding RNA, 216 nt
Organism: Fukomys damarensis (Damara mole-rat)
Lineage: Eukaryota; Metazoa; Chordata; Mammalia; Rodentia; Bathyergidae
Exons: 3
Source: RefSeq, a predicted model, not a curated record
GCUGAAUUUCCAUUUGCAAGGGAAGGAGGGUUAAUGGUGGGCCUCAAAUGUAAAAACAAGGCAGUCUAUGCUGGUAGAAAAAUAGGCAAGGCUGCUGGUCAGGAUGGAGGCCACCGCCCAGCACCAGGCAUCACAGAAGGGCUCCGUGGGCUUGCGAGGAGCAGAAGCUGAUCCACAAGUUCUGGAGGUUGGGCAGAAGAAGAUCACGGCGCCAGA